This 487-nucleotide ribosomal RNA is filed under the name uncultured bacterium. RNAcentral's name for it is "bacterial SSU rRNA". It matches the Rfam family "Bacterial small subunit ribosomal RNA", at positions 28 to 507 of the family's 1533-position model. The record is from RNAcentral.
GACGAACGCUGGCGGCGUGCUUAAUACAUGCAAGUCGAGCGAGGCCUUGGAAUUGGAGUCCUUCGGGAUGAAGAGUCCUUGGCCUAGCGGCGGACGGGUGAGUAACGCGUGGGCAACCUACCCCAAAGUCCGGGAUAACAGUGGGAAACCGCUGCUAAUACCGGAUGGCUUUACCUGAGGGCAUCCUCGGGUAAAGAAAGGUUACGCUUUGGGGAUGGGCCCGCGUCCCAUUAGCUAGUUGGUGAGGUAACGGCUCACCAAGGCGACGAUGGGUAGCCGGCCUGAGAGGGUGAACGGCCACACUGGGACUGAGACACGGCCCAGACUCCUACGGGAGGCAGCAGUAGGGAAUAUUGCGCAAUGGGCGAAAGCCUGACGCAGCAACGCCGCGUGAGGGAUGACGGCCUUGGGUGUAAACUCUGUUGAGUGGAAAAAGGGUAGCAAUACUUUGAUGGUACCAUUCGAGUAAGCACCGGCUAACUACGUG